GUAGUUUCCUUGCACUAGGCACGUUCAGCUUAAAAACAAAAAGUGCAAUCUAUUUUCAAUAGGAAUAGAUAAUGUUGUCCAAAAGCCUGAGGAUAACAGUUAAACUCAUUGAAAAUCACUAAAAAGCCCUUUAAAGGCUACUAUUUUCUUUAAUGACAUUUUUUCUUAGUGUUGGAUGCCCCCUACCACCAGACAAUUGGUAAUAGGAUUGCAACUGGUAUAGGGAAGGUGGAGGGACUGAGGAGAAAAGAGAAAUUGAAUUUAUGUGUCUCCUUCUUAGCACAGCCUCAAAUUUCUUUUUCAGAAAAUAACUUCUGCACAUGCAGCAUUAGGAAGCAGUGUUUCCCAACCACUACAUUUGAAUGAUUCAUUCCUCUGAGGACCCUCAAGUACUUCAGAAGAACUAAAAAAUGAAUAUCACGUUACACCAAAGAAGAAAUGAAAGCUGCCAGUGUCUUCUGAAGUUAAACAGGCUCCUGUUCUUUGACCCAGCAAUCCAAUCCUAGUGCCAUGUUUGUGGACAUCCCCCCACUGCCCUUCAUCCUCAGAAAGGAACAGCCUCCUGUGGGUUGACUUGGUGAUAUCUGUCCAUAGAUAAUGUCUCCAGCCCCAGGCUCAUCACUCAGACAUCUGCCCUCAGGAGGACACGUUCAUCCCCAGCACCAGAGACAUGUCUGCCAAGGCUUUUGGAACUGAUUUUAUCCCCAUGCAAAAAGCUAGAUUCUAAUUCUGUCUGAUCACAAAAGGUUGAAUCAAAGCCCUACAACUGAGGUUCAUAGACCAAAACAAGAAAUACAUGGAAAAGUUGCCAAAGGAUUUUAGAAGAUCAGAGGCUGUAAUUCAUUAUAGAUGUGGAUCCUUUUGCUUUCCUCUAAGGAAAAAAAAUAUUCAAUUUUAUUAAGAAAAAAUUCCCACUAACUGUGGCCAUGUUCAAAGCACUCACAGAAAAUAUUUUGAACGCACAGGGUUUCGCUCAAGGAAGAAUAUUCAUCAUUUCAGGGUGGGGGAAAGGAGCUGGUCAUUCAUUUUCUCUCACCUUAUCCUAACAUUUAUAGUUAAAAAGGGAUGGAUUUGUCUUUGCCUAAUCUCCAUGACAAAGCAAUUCUUGCCUGACCUCUCAAAUUCUCCCCACUCCAGAGAUUGUAUGACCAGAAGGUGGGAUCAUAAAUUCCCAAGAGAUGACAAAGGUGAAAAUGGAAUCAACAAUCACUACCUAAAUUUUCAGGCUCUGAGACACCUUCCUAAACUAUAUGAAUAAGCCACAGCAAAAUGCUUAAAUCUCUCCAGCUAUUUUUUCUUUCAUUGAUAAGUUAUAUUUCUUUUUGAAGGAAAGAAAGUAUCUACCUCAGCUCUUAUUUGUUAAAACUUACAUAACAAAGACACUACAGGUGAAAACACAGCCACCAUCACUCUAUAUUAUUUUCUAAAAUGAUUUAUAACAUAACAUUCAGCAUAGAUAACAGUAAAAGUUUAAAGAGGAUCAUGAAAUACAAAAUAAAUCCAAUUUAAUAAAGUGAAAACAAAAUCAUUGUUCUUUUGUAAAUGUUGAUCACAAAGCUUAAAAAAUGUACUUGAAAUGAAAAGCUUCAGAAAUAAAACAGUUGUACCAAAUUCAGUUUAGUAUUUUGUAUUUAGUAUGUACCAAAUAAAUUUUUAUUAAAUUAUUCAUGAUCUGUGUCACCAACAACUGUGAUGAUCAAUACACAGUCAUAUGAUCUUGGGUGAAGUCUGUGCAGCUCAACAUAAUUCAGUUAAUUCAAUACUGUAAGUGCCGCUGCUAAUUUGCCCAAAUUAUACUAUCAAUUCCUCCUUAAUUAU
RNAcentral lists this long non-coding RNA (1818 nucleotides) under Homo sapiens (human). RNAcentral describes it as "HSALNT0208539". The record is from RNAcentral. Lineage: Eukaryota; Metazoa; Chordata; Mammalia; Primates; Hominidae.